Molecule: ribosomal RNA, 324 nt
Filed under: uncultured Pelotomaculum sp.
Lineage: Bacteria; Bacillati; Bacillota; Clostridia; Eubacteriales; Desulfotomaculaceae
Description: bacterial SSU rRNA
Rfam family: Bacterial small subunit ribosomal RNA
Source: RNAcentral
CUCGUGUCGUGAGAUGUUGGGUUAAGUCCCGCAACGAGCGCAACCCCUACGUUUAGUUGCUAACGCGUGAAGGCGAGCACUCUAGACGAACUGCCGUUGACAAAACGGAGGAAGGUAGGGAUGACGUCAAAUCAUCAUGCCCCUUAUGUUCUGGGCUACACACGUGCUACAAUGGCCGGUACAGACGGACGCAAAGCCGCGAGGUGGAGCAAAUCCUAAAAAGCCGGUCUCAGUUCGGAUUGCAGGCUGCAAUUCGCCUGCAUGAAGUCGGAAUCGCUAGUAAUCGCAGGUCAGCAUACUGCGGUGAAUACGUUCCCGGGCCUU